RNAcentral lists this ribosomal RNA (290 nucleotides) under Enterobacter cloacae. Its description in RNAcentral is "partial 16S rRNA". It matches the Rfam family "Bacterial small subunit ribosomal RNA", at positions 30 to 316 of the family's 1533-position model. The record is from RNAcentral. Lineage: Bacteria; Pseudomonadati; Pseudomonadota; Gammaproteobacteria; Enterobacterales; Enterobacteriaceae.
UGAACGCUGGCGGCAGGCCUAACACAUGCAAGUCGAACGGUAACAGGAAGCAGCUUGCUGCUUCGCUGACGAGUGGCGGACGGGUGAGUAAUGUCUGGGAAACUGCCUGAUGGAGGGGGAUAACUACUGGAAACGGUAGCUAAUACCGCAUAACGUCGCAAGACCAAAGAGGGGGACCUUCGGGCCUCUUGCCAUCGGAUGUGCCCAGAUGGGAUUAGCUAGUAGGUGGGGUAACGGCUCACCUAGGCGACGAUCCCUAGCUGGUCUGAGAGGAUGACCAGCCACACUGG